This 429-nucleotide ribosomal RNA is filed under the name Bacteroidota bacterium. RNAcentral describes it as "Bacteroidetes bacterium partial 16S ribosomal RNA". It matches the Rfam family "Bacterial small subunit ribosomal RNA", at positions 355 to 776 of the family's 1533-position model. The record is from RNAcentral. Lineage: Bacteria; Pseudomonadati; Bacteroidota.
UAGGGAAUCUUCCGCAAUGGACGCAAGUCUGACGGAGCAACGCCGCGUGAGUGAAGAAGGAUUUCGGUUCGUAAAACUCUGUUGUUAGAGAAGAACAGCGCAUAGAGUAACUGUUAUGCGUGUGACGGUAUCUAACCAGAAAGCCACGGCUAACUACGUGCCAGCAGCCGCGGUAAUACGUAGGUGGCAAGCGUUGUCCGGAUUUAUUGGGCGUAAAGCGAGCGCAGGCGGUCAAUUAAGUCUGAUGUGAAAGCCCCCGGCUCAACCGGGGAGGAUCAUUGGAAACUGGUUGACUUGAGUGCAGAAGAGGAGAGUGGAAUUCCAUGUGUAGCGGUGAAAUGCGUAGAUAUAUGGAGGAACACCAGUGGCGAAGGAGACUCUCUGGUCUGUAACUGACGAUGAGGCUCGAAAGCGUGGGUAGCAAACAGG